This 440-nucleotide ribosomal RNA is filed under the name uncultured bacterium. RNAcentral describes it as "partial 16S ribosomal RNA". It matches the Rfam family "Bacterial small subunit ribosomal RNA", at positions 338 to 795 of the family's 1533-position model. The record is from RNAcentral.
CCUACGGGGUGCAGCAGUGGGGAAUAUUGCACAAUAGGGGGAACCCUGAUGCAGCGACGCCGCGUGAGUGAAGAAGUAUUUCGGUAUGUAAAGCUCUAUCAGCAGGGAAGAAAAUGACGGUACCUGACUAAGACGCCCCGGCUAACUACGUGCCAGCAGCCGCGGUAAUACGUAGGGGGCAAGCGUUAUCCGGAUUUACUGGGUGUAAAGGGAGCGCAGACGGCUGUGCAAGUCUGGAGUGAAAGGCGGGGGCCCAACCCCCGGACUGCUCUGGAAACUGUAAAGCUGGAGUGCAGGAGAGGUAAGCGGAAUUCCUAGUGUAGCGGUGAAAUGCGGAGAUAUUAGGAGGAACACCAGUGGCGAAGGCGGCUUACUGGACUGCAACUGACGUUGAGGCUCGAAAGCGUGGGGAGCAAACAGGAUUAGAUACCCUAGUAGUC